AGAAUCAACGCUGGCGGCGUGCCUAACACAUGCAAGUCGCACGAGAAAGGGGAGCAAUCCCUGAGUAAAGUGGCGCACGGGUGAGUAACACGUGAAUAAUCUACCUCCGAGUGGGGAAUAACUGAGAGAAAUCUUGGCUAAUACCGCAUAAUACCCACGGGUCAAAGCAGCAAUGCGCUUGGAGAGGAGUUCGCGGCAGAUUAGCUAGUUGGCGGGGUAAUGGCCCACCAAGGCGAUGAUCUGUA
This 245-nucleotide ribosomal RNA is filed under the name uncultured bacterium. RNAcentral's name for it is "partial small subunit ribosomal RNA". It matches the Rfam family "Bacterial small subunit ribosomal RNA", at positions 26 to 285 of the family's 1533-position model. The record is from RNAcentral.